CGGUACUCUAUCGGAUCUCCUUAAAGGUACCUUAGUCAAUGGGCUCUGGAUUCGAUCUAAUCAAAUCUGAUUUUAUAUUUUCACUUGUCUGUAUUGGUUCUUCUACUUGUUAAACUUUCUCAAGUUUAAUCUUAGUGGCAUCGUCCCUUUCAUAAAAAGAAUAUUCUAUUACUGAUAAACACCUUUUAUUCUUCAACAUGAUAGAAGUAGCAUACCCUAGACUCCAUAGGAUACCCUACAAUUAAGCAAUUAUCGGAUCGAGGUCCAAGCUUAUGGAUCUAUAAAUAUUUUACAUAAACCAAAUAACCCCA
RNAcentral lists this long non-coding RNA (311 nucleotides) under Elaeis guineensis (African oil palm). RNAcentral's name for it is "long non-coding RNA (EGUI_LNC055021)". Lineage: Eukaryota; Viridiplantae; Streptophyta; Magnoliopsida; Arecales; Arecaceae. The record is from RNAcentral.